AUCCGGCUGAUGAAUCCCAAAUAAGACGAAACGCGCUUUGUCCUGUAU
This 48-nucleotide non-coding RNA is filed under the name Schistosoma mattheei. The record is from RNAcentral. Lineage: Eukaryota; Metazoa; Platyhelminthes; Trematoda; Strigeidida; Schistosomatidae.